UUAGAGUUUGAUCCUGGCUCAGGAUGAACGCUAGCGGCAGGCUUAACACAUGCAAGUCGAGGGGCAGCGAGAUCAGUGCUUGCACUGAUUGUCGGCGACCGGCGCACGGGUGCGUAACGCGUAUGCAACCUACCCAUUACAGGGGGAUAACACUGAGAAAUCGGUACUAAUACCCCAUAACAUCCAGGGAGGCAUCUUCUUGGGUUGAAAACUCCGGUGGUAAUGGAUGGGCAUGCGUUGUAUUAGUUAGUUGGUGGGGUAACGGCUCACCAAGACAACGAUACAUAGGGGGACUGAGAGGUUAACCCCCCACAUUGGUACUGAGACACGGACCAAACUCCUACGGGAGGCAGCAGUGAGGAAUAUUGGUCAAUGGACGCAAGUCAGAACCAGCCAUGCCGCGUGCAGGAAGACGGCUCUAUGAGUUGUAAACUGCUUUUGUACGAGGGUAAACGCAGAUACGCGUAUCUGUCUGAAAGUAUCGUACGAAUAAGGAUCGGCUAACUCCGUGCCAGCAGCCGCGGUAAUACGGAGGAUUCAAGCGUUAUCCGGAUUUAUUGGGUUUAAAGGGUGCGUAGGCGGUCGGAUAAGUUAGAGGUGAAAUCCCGGGGCUCAACUUCGGAAUUGCCUCUGAUACUGUUCGGCUAGAGAGUAGUUGCGGUAGGCGGAAUGUAUGGUGUAGCGGUGAAAUGCUUAGAGAUCAUACAGAACACCGAUUGCGAAGGCAGCUUACCAAGCUACUUCUGACGUUGAGGCACGAAAGCGUGGGGAGCAAACAGGAUUAGAUACCCUGGUAGUCCACGCAGUAAACGAAUGAUAACUCGUUGUCGGCGAUACAGUGUCGGUGACUAAGCGAAAGCGAUAAGUUAUCCACCUGGGGAGUACGUUCGCAAGAAUGAAACUCAAAGGAAUUGACGGGGGCCCGCACAAGCGGAGGAACAUGUGGUUUAAUUCGAUGAUACGCGAGGAACCUUACCCGGGCUUGAAAGUUAGUGACGGAUCUUGAAAGAGGUCUUCCCUUCGGGGCACGAAACUAGGUGCUGCAUGGUUGUCGUCAGCUCGUGCCGUGAGGUGUCGGGUUAAGUCCCAUAACGAGCGCAACCCCUACCGUUAGUUGCCAGCAGGUCAAGCUGGGCACUCUGACGGGACUGCCGGUGUAAGCCGAGAGGAAGGUGGGGAUGACGUCAAAUCAGCACGGCCCUUACGUCCGGGGCUACACACGUGUUACAAUGGCAGGUACAGAGGGCAGCUACCCAGCGAUGGGAUGCGAAUCUCGAAAGCCUGUCUCAGUUCGGAUUGGAGGCUGAAACCCGCCUCCAUGAAGUUGGAUUCGCUAGUAAUCGCGCAUCAGCCAUGGCGCGGUGAAUACGUUCCCGGGCCUUGCACUCACCGCCCGUCAAG
RNAcentral lists this ribosomal RNA (1401 nucleotides) under uncultured bacterium. RNAcentral's name for it is "bacterial SSU rRNA". It matches the Rfam family "Bacterial small subunit ribosomal RNA". The record is from RNAcentral.